GCCAGAUGUCAUAUGCUUGUCUUAAAGAUUAAGCCAUGCAUGUCUAAGUAUAAAUAGCAUACAGUGAAACUGCGAAUGGCUCAUUAAAACAGUUAUAGUUUAUUUGAUAGUAUUUCUACAUGGAUAACCGUGGUAAUUCUAGGGCUAAUACAUGCGCAAAGACCUGACUUACGAAAGGUUGUAUUUAUUAGAUUUAACCAUCAAAUGGUGAAUCAUAGUAACUGAUCGGAUCGUGCGAUUGCACGAUAAAUCAUUCAAGUUUCUGCCCUAUCAGCUUUCGAUGGUAGUGUAUUGGACUACCAUGGCAGUCACGGGUAACGGAGAAUUAGGGUUCGGUUCCGGAGAGGGAGCCUGAGAAACGGCUACCACAUCUAAGGAAGGCAGCAGGCGCGUAAAUUACCCAAUCCCGAUUCGGGGAGGUAGUGACAAGAAAUAACAACUUCAGAGGUUCGCCUCUAGAAGAUUGCAAUGAGAACAAUUUAAAUCACUUAACGAGGAACAAUUGGAGGGCAAGUCUGGUGCCAGCAGCCGCGGUAAUUCCAGCUCCAAUAGCGUAUACAUAAGUUGUUGCAGUUAAAAAGCUCGUAGUUGAACUUCUGAUUGGGCACUUUCGCGGCUUCUGCCAGUUUGUUGUUCAGUCAUCCGUCUGCAACCCUUCAACGGCCUUCACUGGUACGGGAAGGUGAGUAGACAAUUUACCUUGAAAAAAUUAGAGUGUUUCAGGCAGGUUCUCGCCGGAAUACAUUAGCAUGGAAUAAUGGAAUAGGACUCUUGUCCUUUGUUGGUUUCGGGAUAGGAGUAAUGAUUAAUAGGAACAGAUGGGGGCAUUAGUAUUUAAUUGUCAGAGGUGAAAUUCUUGGAUUUAUUAAAGACUAACUAAUGCGAAAGCAUUUGCCAAGGAUGUUUUCAUUAAUCAAGAACGAAAGUUAGGGGAUCAAAGACGAUCAGAUACCGUCGUAGUCUUAACCAUAAACUAUACCGACUCGGGAUCGGAGGGGUUUAAAUUUUAGUCCCUUCGGCACCGUAUGAGAAAUCAAAGUCUUUGGGUCCUGGGGGGAGUAGUUCGCAAGGCUGAAACUUAAAGGAAUUGACGGAAGGGCACCACCAGGAGUGGAGCCUGCGGCUUAAUUUGACCCAACACGGGGAAACUUACCAGGUCAAAACAUGGAUAGGAUUGACAGAUUGAAAGCUCUUUCUUGAUUCUAUGGGUGGUGGUGCAUGGCCGUUCCUAGUUGGUGGAGUG
This 1243-nucleotide ribosomal RNA is filed under the name metagenome. RNAcentral's name for it is "SSU rRNA". It matches the Rfam family "Eukaryotic small subunit ribosomal RNA", at positions 16 to 1308 of the family's 1831-position model. The record is from RNAcentral.